CAUGCCUACGGGGGGCAGCAGUGAGGAGUAUUGGUCAAUGAGCGGGAGCCUGAACCAGCCAAGCCGCGUGAGGGAAGAAGGUACAGCGUAUCGUAAACCUCUUUUGUCAGGGAACAAAGGCGGGGACUAGUCCCCGGAUGAGGGUACCUGAAGAAAAAGCAUCGGCUAACUCCGUGCCAGCAGCCGCGGUAAUACGGAGGAUGCGAGCGUUAUCCGGAUUUAUUGGGUUUAAAGGGUGCGCAGGCGGCCUGUUAAGUCAGCGGUAAAAUUUCGGGGCUCAACCCCGUCGUGCCGUUGGAACUGAC
This 305-nucleotide ribosomal RNA is filed under the name uncultured bacterium. Its description in RNAcentral is "bacterial SSU rRNA". It matches the Rfam family "Bacterial small subunit ribosomal RNA", at positions 334 to 637 of the family's 1533-position model. The record is from RNAcentral.